ACGAACGCUGGCGGCGUGCUUAACCCAUGCAAGUCGAACGGAAAGGCCCCUUUGGGGGUACUCGAGUGGCGAACGGGUGAGUAACACGUGAGUAACCUGCCCUUGACUUCGGGAUAACUUCAGGAAACUGGGGCUAAUACCGGAUAGGAAUCCUUGCUGCAUGGUGGGGGUUGGAAAGCUUCGGCGGUUUUGGAUGGACUCGCGGCUUAUCAGCUUGUUGGUGGGGUAGUGGCUUACCAAGGCUUUGACGGGUAGCCGGCCUGAGAGGGCGACCGGCCACAGUGGGACUGAGAUACGGCCCAGACUCCUACGGGAGGCAGCAGUGGGGAAUAUUGCACAAUGGGCGGAAGCCUGAUGCAGCAACGCCGCGUGCGGGAUGACGGCCUUCGGGUUGUAAACCGCUUUCAGCAGGGGCGAAGCUUGUGGUGACGGUACCUGCAGAAGAAGCACCGGCUAACUACGUG
Molecule: ribosomal RNA, 464 nt
Filed under: uncultured bacterium
Lineage: Bacteria
Description: partial 16S ribosomal RNA
Rfam family: Bacterial small subunit ribosomal RNA
Source: RNAcentral